GGUUAAGCGACUAAGCGUACACGGUGGAUGCCCUGGCAGUCAGAGGCGAUGAAGGGCGUGCUAAUCUGCGAUAAGCGCCGGUAAGGUGAUAUGAACCGUUAUAACCGGCGAUACCCGAAUGGGGAAACCCAGUGUGACUCGUCACACUAUCAUUAACUGAAUCCAUAGGUUAAUGAGGCGAACCGGGGGAACUGAAACAUCUAAGUACCCCGAGGAAAAGAAAUCAACCGAGAUUCCCCCAGUAGCGGCGAGCGAACGGGGAGGAGCCCAGAGCCUGAAUCAGCAUGUGUGUUAGUGGAAGCGUCUGGAAAGGCGCGCGAUACAGGGUGACAGCCCCGUACACAAAAGCGCAUGUGCUGUGAGCUCGAUGAGUAGGGCGGGACACGUGGUAUCCUGUCUGAAUAUGGGGGGACCAUCCUCCAAGGCUAAAUACUCCUGACUGACCGAUAGUGAACCAGUACCGUGAGGGAAAGGCGAAAAGAACCCCGGCGAGGGGAGUGAAAAAGAACCUGAAACCGUGUACGUACAAGCAGUGGGAGCCCCACCACUAAGCCAGUGGUGAACUCCACAUACGCAUCCUUUGCUGAGGAUACGGUUAACGGAGCGAAAGCGACGUUCAACCGCAAAAGAAGCAGAGGGGGCUUAGUGGUGGGGUGACUGCGUACCUUUUGUAUAAUGGGUCAGCGACUUAUAUUCUGUAGCAAGGUUAACCGCAUAGGGGAGCCGGAGGGAAACCGAGUCUUAACCGGGCGUUAAGUUGCAGGGUAUAGACCCGAAACCCGGUGAUCUAGCCAUGGGCAGGUUGAAGGUUGGGUAACACUAACUGGAGGACCGAACCGACUAAUGUUGAAAAAUUAGCGGAUGACCUGUGGCUGGGGGUGAAAGGCCAAUCAAACCGGGAGAUAGCUGGUUCUCCCCGAAAGCUAUUUAGGUAGCGCCUCGUGAAUUCAUCUCCGGGGGUAGAGCACUGUUUCGGCUAGGGGGCCAUCCCGGCUUACCAACCCGAUGCAAACUGCGAAUACCGGAGAAUGUUAUCACGGGAGACACACGGCGGGUGCUAACGUCCGUCGUGAAGAGGGAAACAACCCAGACCGCCAGCUAAGGUCCCAAAGUCAUGGUUAAGUGGGAAACGAUGUGGGAAGGCCCAGACAGCCAGGAUGUUGGCUUAGAAGCAGCCAUCAUUUAAAGAAAGCGUAAUAGCUCACUGGUCGAGUCGGCCUGCGCGGAAGAUGUAACGGGGCUAAACCAUGCACCGAAGCUGCGGCAGCGACGCUGAUGCGUUGUUGGGUAGGGGAGCGUUCUGUAAGCCUGCGAAGGUGGCCUGUGAGGGUUGCUGGAGGUAUCAGAAGUGCGAAUGCUGACAUAAGUAACGAUAAAGCGGGUGAAAAGCCCGCUCGCCGGAAGACCAAGGGUUCCUGUCCAACGUUAAUCGGGGCAGGGUGAGUCGACCCCUAAGGCGAGGCCGAAAGGCGUAGUCGAUGGGAAACGGGUUAAUAUUCCCGUACUUGGUGUUACUGCGAAGGGGGGACGGAGAAGGCUAUGUUGGCCGGGCGACGGUUGUCCCGGUUUAAGCGUGUAGGUGUGUGUUCCAGGUAAAUCCGGUUCACUUUAACACUGAGGCGUGACGACGAGGCACUACGGUGCUGAAGCAACAAAUGCCCUGCUUCCAGGAAAAGCCUCUAAGCAUCAGGUAACAUCAAAUCGUACCCCAAACCGACACAGGUGGUCAGGUAGAGAAUACCAAGGCGCUUGAGAGAACUCGGGUGAAGGAACUAGGCAAAAUGGUGCCGUAACUUCGGGAGAAGGCACGCUGACACGUAGGUGAAGUGAUUUACUCAUGGAGCUGAAGUCAGUCGAAGAUACCAGCUGGCUGCAACUGUUUAUUAAAAACACAGCACUGUGCAAACACGAAAGUGGACGUAUACGGUGUGACGCCUGCCCGGUGCCGGAAGGUUAAUUGAUGGGGUCAGCGCAAGCGAAGCUCCUGAUCGAAGCCCCGGUAAACGGCGGCCGUAACUAUAACGGUCCUAAGGUAGCGAAAUUCCUUGUCGGGUAAGUUCCGACCUGCACGAAUGGCGUAAUGAUGGCCAGGCUGUCUCCACCCGAGACUCAGUGAAAUUGAACUCGCUGUGAAGAUGCAGUGUACCCGCGGCAAGACGGAAAGACCCCGUGAACCUUUACUAUAGCUUGACACUGAACAUUGAGCCUUGAUGUGUAGGAUAGGUGGGAGGCUUUGAAGUGUGGACGCCAGUCUGCAUGGAGCCGACCUUGAAAUACCACCCUUUAAUGUUUGAUGUUCUAACGUGGACCCGUAAUCCGGGUUGCGGACAGUGUCUGGUGGGUAGUUUGACUGGGGCGGUCUCCUCCUAAAGAGUAACGGAGGAGCACGAAGGUUGGCUAAUCCUGGUCGGACAUCAGGAGGUUAGUGCAAUGGCAUAAGCCAGCUUGACUGCGAGCGUGACGGCGCGAGCAGGUGCGAAAGCAGGUCAUAGUGAUCCGGUGGUUCUGAAUGGAAGGGCCAUCGCUCAACGGAUAAAAGGUACUCCGGGGAUAACAGGCUGAUACCGCCCAAGAGUUCAUAUCGACGGCGGUGUUUGGCACCUCGAUGUCGGCUCAUCACAUCCUGGGGCUGAAGUAGGUCCCAAGGGUAUGGCUGUUCGCCAUUUAAAGUGGUACGCGAGCUGGGUUUAGAACGUCGUGAGACAGUUCGGUCCCUAUCUGCCGUGGGCGCUGGAGAACUGAGGGGGGCUGCUCCUAGUACGAGAGGACCGGAGUGGACGCAUCACUGGUGUUCGGGUUGUCAUGCCAAUGGCACUGCCCGGUAGCUAAAUGCGGAAGAGAUAAGUGCUGAAAGCAUCUAAGCACGAAACUUGCCCCGAGAUGAGUUCUCCCUGAGACUUUAAGUCUCCUGAAGGAACGUUGAAGACGACGACGUUGAUAGGCCGGGUGUGUAAGCGCAGCGAUGCGUUGAGCUAACCGGUACUAAUGAACCGUGAGGCUUAACCUU
RNAcentral lists this ribosomal RNA (3007 nucleotides) under Salmonella enterica. Its description in RNAcentral is "23S ribosomal RNA". It matches the Rfam family "Bacterial large subunit ribosomal RNA". Lineage: Bacteria; Pseudomonadati; Pseudomonadota; Gammaproteobacteria; Enterobacterales; Enterobacteriaceae. The record is from RNAcentral.